UGAGUAAUGUCUGGGAAACUGCCUGAUGGAGGGGGAUAACUACUGGAAACGGUAGCUAAUACCGCAUAACGUCGCAAGACCAAAGAGGGGGACCUUCGGGCCUCUUGCCAUCGGAUGUGCCCAGAUGGGAUUAGCUAGUAGGUGGGGUAACGGCUCACCUAGGCGACGAUCCCUAGCUGGUCUGAGAGGAUGACCAGCCACACUGGAACUGAGACACGGUCCACACUCCUACGGGAGGCAGCAGUGGGGAAUAUUGCACAAUGGGCGCAAGCCUGAUGCAUCCAUGCCGCGUGUAUGAAGAAGGCCUUCGGGUUGUAAAGUACUUUCAUCGAGGAGGAAGGUGUUGA
This 347-nucleotide ribosomal RNA is filed under the name uncultured bacterium. RNAcentral's name for it is "bacterial SSU rRNA". It matches the Rfam family "Bacterial small subunit ribosomal RNA", at positions 107 to 457 of the family's 1533-position model. The record is from RNAcentral.